GUGCCUAAUACAUGCAAGUCGAACGCUUCUUUUUCCACUGGAGCUUGCUCCACCGGAAAAAGAGGAGUGGCGAACGGGUGAGUAACACGUGGGUAACCUGCCCAUCAGAAGGGGAUAACACUUGGAAACAGGUGCUAAUACCGUAUAACAAUCGAAACCGCAUGGUUUUGAUUUGAAAGGCGCUUUCGGGUGUCACUGAUGGAUGGACCCGCGGUGCAUUAGCUAGUUGGUGAGGUAACGGCUCACCAAGGCCACGAUGCAUAGCCGACCUGAGAGGGUGAUCGGCCACAUUGGGACUGAGACACGGCCCAAACUCCUACGGGAGGCAGCAGUAGGGAAUCUUCGGCAAUGGACGAAAGUCUGACCGAGCAACGCCGCGUGAGUGAAGAAGGUUUUCGGAUCGUAAAACUCUGUUGUUAGAGAAGAACAAGGAUGAGAGUAACUGUUCAUCCCUUGACGGUAUCUAACCAGAAAGCCACGGCUAACUACGUGCCAGCAGCCGCGGUAAUACGUAGGUGGCAAGCGUUGUCCGGAUUUAUUGGGCGUAAAGCGAGCGCAUGCGGUUUCUUAAGUCUGAUGUGAAAGCCCCCGGCUCAACCGGGGAGGGUCAUUGGAAACUGGGAGACUUGAGUGCAGAAGAGGAGAGUGGAAUUCCAUGUGUAGCGGUGAAAUGCGUAGAUAUAUGGAGGAACACCAGUGGCGAAGGCGGCUCUCUGGUCUGUAACUGACGCUGAGGCUCGAAAGCGUGGGGAGCAAACAGGAUUAGAUACCCUGGUAGUCCACGCCGUAAACGAUGAGUGCUAAGUGUUGGAGGGUUUCCGCCCUUCAGUGCUGCAGCUAACGCAUUAAGCACUCCGCCUGGGGAGUACGACCGCAAGGUUGAAACUCAAAGGAAUUGACGGGGGCCCGCACAAGCGGUGGAGCAUGUGGUUUAAUUCGAAGCAACGCGAAGAACCUUACCAGGUCUUGACAUCCUUUGACCACUCUAGAGAUAGAGCUUCCCCUUCGGGGGCAAAGUGACAGGUGGCGCAUGGUUGUCGUCAGCUCGUGUCGUGAGAUGUUGGGUUAAGUCCCGCAACGAGCGCAACCCUUAUUGUUAGUUGCCAUCAUUCAGUUGGGCACUCUAGCAAGACUGCCGGUGACAAACCGGAGGAAGGUGGGGAUGACGUCAAAUCAUCAUGCCCCUUAUGACCUGGGCUACACACGUGCUACAAUGGGAAGUACAACGAGUCGCGAAGUCGCGAGGCUAAGCUAAUCUCUUAAAGCUUCUCUCAGUUCGGAUUGCAGGCUGCAACUCGCCUGCAUGAAGCCGGAAUCGCUAGUAAUCGCGGAUCAGCACGCCGCGGUGAAUACGUUCCCGGGCCUUGUACACACCGCCCGUCACACCACGAGAGUUUGUAACACCCGAAGUCGGUGAGGUAACCUUUUGGAGCCAGCCGCCUAAGGUGGGAUAGAUGAUUGGGG
RNAcentral lists this ribosomal RNA (1464 nucleotides) under uncultured organism. Its description in RNAcentral is "16S ribosomal RNA". It matches the Rfam family "Bacterial small subunit ribosomal RNA". The record is from RNAcentral.